AGCUAGUAGUUUGACGUCCUGGCUACGAGGACGAACGCUGGCGGCACGCUUAACACAUGCAAGUCGAACGGAGAUUAUUUGAGUUUACUUAGGUAAUCUUAGUGGCGGACGGGUGAGUAACACGUGAGCAACCUACCUUAGAGAGAGGGAUAGCUUCUGGAAACGGAUGGUAAUACCUCAUAACAUAGAUAGACCGCAUGAUUUAUCUAUCAAAGAUUUAUCACUCUGAGAUGGGCUCGCGUCUGAUUAGAUAGUUGGUGAGGUAACGGCUCACCAAGUCGACGAUCAGUAGCCGGACUGAGAGGUUGAACGGCCACAUUGGGACUGAGACACGGCCCAGACUCCUACGGGAGGCAGCAGUGGGGAAUAUUGCACAAUGGGGGAAACCCUGAUGCAGCGAUGCCGCGUGGAGGAAGAAGGUUUUCGGAUUGUAAACUCCUGUCUUAAAGGACGAUAAUGACGGUACUUUAGGAGGAAGCUCCGGCUAACUACGUGCC
This 497-nucleotide ribosomal RNA is filed under the name uncultured organism. Its description in RNAcentral is "SSU rRNA". It matches the Rfam family "Bacterial small subunit ribosomal RNA", at positions 1 to 509 of the family's 1533-position model. The record is from RNAcentral.